RNAcentral lists this non-coding RNA (183 nucleotides) under Clostridium intestinale. RNAcentral describes it as "6S RNA". It matches the Rfam family "6S / SsrS RNA". From Rfam's summary of the family: E. coli 6S RNA was the first non coding RNA to be sequenced, but its function was unknown until recently. It consists of 184 nucleotides that fold into an extended hairpin structure with a large single-stranded internal bulge. The 6S RNA specifically associates with RNA polymerase holoenzyme containing the sigma70 specificity factor. Lineage: Bacteria; Bacillati; Bacillota; Clostridia; Eubacteriales; Clostridiaceae. The record is from RNAcentral. RNAcentral also lists the same sequence under 1 other name.
CUGUUUCUGAGAUAUUUGUGAAGCUCUUAUUUUGAACCUACACUAAAGUUUCGGGAGUUCAAGAUUUAAAUAUCUAAUUGACUUAUAAGACCUAAAUGGGCAAGGACAUAAAGGUAUUUGUGAGGACACCCACCUAUCGCGAGAUAGGGCUCAAAAUUAGAGUAACGGUAUUUUGGUUUCAAU